RNAcentral lists this ribosomal RNA (497 nucleotides) under uncultured bacterium. RNAcentral describes it as "partial 16S ribosomal RNA". It matches the Rfam family "Bacterial small subunit ribosomal RNA", at positions 28 to 507 of the family's 1533-position model. The record is from RNAcentral.
GAUGAACGCUGGCGGCGUGCCUAAUACAUGCAAGUCGAGCGAACAGAUGAGGAGCUUGCUCCUCUGACGUUAGCGGCGGACGGGUGAGUAACACGUGGAUAACCUACCUAUAAGACUGGGAUAACUUCGGGAAACCGGAGCUAAUACCGGAUAAUAUAUUGAACCGCAUGGUUCAAUAGUGAAAGACGGUUUUGCUGUCACUUAUAGAUGGAUCCGCGCGGCAUUAGCUAGUUGGUAAGGUAACGGCUUACCAAGGCAACGAUGCGUAGCCGACCUGAGAGGGUGAUCGGCCACACUGGAACUGAGACACGGUCCAGACUCCUACGGGAGGCAGCAGUAGGGAAUCUUCGGCAAUAGGCGAAAGCCUGACGGAGCAACGCCGCGUGAGUGAUGAAGGUCUUCGGAUCGUAAAACUCUGUUAUUAGGGAAGAACAAAUGUGUAAGUAACUAUGCACGUCUUGACGGUACCUAAUCAGAAAGCCACGGCUAACUACGUG